Molecule: ribosomal RNA, 253 nt
Filed under: uncultured bacterium
Lineage: Bacteria
Description: partial 16S ribosomal RNA
Rfam family: Bacterial small subunit ribosomal RNA
Source: RNAcentral
UACGUAGGGGGCAAGCGUUGUCCGGAAUCAUUGGGCGUAAAGCGCGUGUAGGCGGCCCGAUAAGUCCGCUGUGAAAGUCCAGGGCUCAACCCUGGGAUGCCGGUGGAUACUGUCGGGCUCGAGUCCGGAAGAGGCGAGUGGAAUUCCUGGUGUAGCGGUGAAAUGCGCAGAUAUCAGGAGGAACACCAAUGGUGAAGGCAGCUCGCUGGGACGUGACUGACGCUGAGACGCGAAAGCGUGGGGAGCAAACAGG